Molecule: non-coding RNA, 79 nt
Organism: Guyanagaster necrorhizus
Lineage: Eukaryota; Fungi; Basidiomycota; Agaricomycetes; Agaricales; Physalacriaceae
Source: the annotation of a RefSeq genome assembly
GCAUUAAUGGGGUAGUGGUAACCUGGGUCGUUGCCAUGUGAAUGUCGACCCGCCGGGGGUUCGAUUCCCCCUUAAUGCA